GAUGAACGCUGGCGGCGUGCUUAGCACAUGCAAGUCAAACGAUGAAGCUCAGCUUGCUGGGUGGAUUAGUGGCGAACGGGUGAGUAACACGUGAGUAACCUGCCCUUAACUCUGGGAUAAGCCUGGGAAACUAGGUCUAAUACCGGAUAGGAGCGCCUACCGCAUGGUGGGUGUUGGAAAGAUUUAUCGGUUUUGGAUGGACUCGCGGCCUAUCAGCUUGUUGGUGAGGUAAUGGCUCACCAAGGCGACGACGGGUAGCCGGCCUGAGAGGGUGACCGGCCAAACUGGGACUGAGACACGGCCAAGACCCCUCCGGGAGGCAGCAGUGGGGAAUAUUGCACAAUGGGCGAAGGCCUGAUGCAGCGACGCCGCGUGGGGGAUGACGGCCUUCGGGUUGUAAACCUCUUUCAGUAGGGAAGAAGCGAAAGUGACGGUACCUGCAGAAGAAGCACCGGCUAACUACGU
RNAcentral lists this ribosomal RNA (465 nucleotides) under uncultured bacterium. RNAcentral describes it as "partial 16S ribosomal RNA". It matches the Rfam family "Bacterial small subunit ribosomal RNA", at positions 28 to 506 of the family's 1533-position model. The record is from RNAcentral.